AAUCAACGCUGGCGGCGUGCCUCAGACAUGCAAGUCGAACGCGAAAGGCUCCUUCGGGAGCCCGGUAGAGUGGCGCACGGGUGAGUAACACGUGGGUAAUUUACCUUCGGGUGGGGAAUAACAGCCGGAAACGGCUGCUAAUACCGCAUAAUGCAGCGGCACCACAUGGUGACAGUUGUUAAAGUGGGGGAUCGCAAGACCUCACGCCUGAAGAGAAGCCCGCGGCGGAUUAGCAGUUGGCGGGGUAAUGCCCACCAAGGCGUCGAUCCGUAGCCGGCCUGAGAGGGCGGUCGGCCACACUGGACACUGAAUAACGGGUCAGACUCCUACGGGAGGCAGCAGUCGGGAAUUUGGGCAAUGGGCGCAAGCCUGACCCAGCAACGCCGCGUGAAGGAUGAAAUCCCUCGGGAUGUAAA
This 416-nucleotide ribosomal RNA is filed under the name uncultured bacterium. Its description in RNAcentral is "bacterial SSU rRNA". It matches the Rfam family "Bacterial small subunit ribosomal RNA", at positions 32 to 429 of the family's 1533-position model. The record is from RNAcentral.